RNAcentral lists this ribosomal RNA (425 nucleotides) under uncultured bacterium. RNAcentral's name for it is "bacterial SSU rRNA". It matches the Rfam family "Bacterial small subunit ribosomal RNA", at positions 354 to 796 of the family's 1533-position model. The record is from RNAcentral.
GUUAGGAAUAUUGGACAAUGGGCGCAAGCCUGAUCCAGCCAUGCCGCGUGAGUGAUGAAGGCCUUCGGGUUGUAAAGCUCUUUAGCCGAUGAUUAUAAUGACUGUAGUCGGAAAAUAAGCCCCGGCUAACUUCGUGCCAGCAGCCGCGGUAAUACGAAGGGGGCGAGCGUUAUUCGGAAUCACUGGGCGUAAAGCGUGCGUAGGCGGCUUUGCAAGUUGGGAGUGAAAGCCCAGGGCUCAACCCUGGAAUUGCUCUCAAAACUGCAAGGCUCGAAUUCGGGAGAGGAUAGCGGAAUUGUCAGUGUAGCAGUGAAAUGCGUAGAUAUUCACAGGAACACCAGUGGCGUAAGCGGCUAUCUGGACCGAUAUUGACGCUGAGGCACGAAAGCGUGGGGAUCAAACAGGAUUAGAUACCCUUGUAGUCC